Molecule: ribosomal RNA, 1149 nt
Filed under: uncultured organism
Description: bacterial SSU rRNA
Rfam family: Bacterial small subunit ribosomal RNA
Source: RNAcentral
AAUACAUGCAAGUCGAGCGAUGAGGCUCCUUCGGGAGUACAUCAGCGGCGAACGGGUGAGUAACACGUGUGGUGACUUGCCCCUGAAGAUGGGGAUAACCUCUGGAAACGGGGGCUAAUACCCAAUGUGCUCGGUGAUUCGGUUCAUCGAGUAAAGCUCCGGCGCUUCGGGAGAGGCCUGCGGCCCAUCAGCUAGUUGGUAGGGUAACGGCCUACCAAGGCAGAGACGGGUAGGGGGCGUGAGAGCGCGGACCCCCACACUGGCACUGAGAUACGGGCCAGACUCCUACGGGAGGCAGCAGUAAGGGAUAUUGCGCAAUGGACGAAAGUCAGACGCAGCGACGCCGCGUGGGCGAUGAAGGCCUUCGGGUUGUAAAGCCCUUUUAUGGGGGAAGAGAAAAAGGACGGUACCCCAGGAAUAAGUCCCGGCUAACUACGUGCCAGCAGCCGCGGUAAAACGUAGGGGACAAGCGUUAUCCGGAUUCACUGGGCGUAAAGAGCGUUGAGGCGGUUCCGUAAGUUGGGCGUGAAAGCUCCGGGCUUAACUCGGAGAUGUCGUUCAAUACUGCGGGGCUUGAGGACAGCAGAGGAAGGUGGAAUUCCCGGUGUAGUGGUGAAAUGCGUAGAUAUCGGGGGGAACACCCGUGGCGAAGGCGGCCUUCUGGGCUGUUCCUGACGCUGAAGGCGAAAGCUAGGGGAGCGAACGGGAUUAGAUACCCCGGUAGUCCUAGCUGUAAACGAUGGAUGCUGGGUGUGGGGGGUGUAAAUUCCCUCUGUGCCGAAGCAAACGCGUUAAGCAUCCCGCCUGGGGACUACGGCCGCAAGGCUAAAACCCAAACGAAUUGACGGGGGCCCGCACAAGCAGCGGAGCGUGUGGUUUAAUUCGAUGCUACACGAAGAACCUUACCUGGGUUUGACAUGCACGUGGUAGGGAACCGAAAAGGGGACCGACCUUCGGGAGCGUGCACAGGUGCUGCAUGGCUGUCGUCAGCUCGUGCCGUGAGGUGUCGGGUUAAGUCCCGUAACGAGCGCAACCCUUGCCCUUAGUUACAAGUGUUCUAAGGGGACUGCCCGGGACAACUGGGGAGGAAGGUGGGGAUGACGUCAAGUCAGCAUGGCCUUUAUAUCCAAGGGCUACACACACGCUACA